UGCAGACGCCUCUGGCGUUUCCUCCCUUUGACUUUGGCCGCGCCUGAGGGCGCGGCCUUUUUUCUUUCCGGU
This 72-nucleotide small RNA is filed under the name Hyphomonas neptunium ATCC 15444. Its description in RNAcentral is "Makes More Granules Regulator RNA (mmgR)". It matches the Rfam family "Makes More Granules Regulator RNA (mmgR)". Rfam says of the family: SuhB later renamed mmgR (makes more granules regulator) was a putative non-coding RNA found multiple times in the Agrobacterium tumefaciens genome and related alpha-proteobacteria. Other non-coding RNAs uncovered in the same analysis include: speF, ybhL, metA, and serC. The record is from Rfam by way of RNAcentral. Lineage: Bacteria; Pseudomonadati; Pseudomonadota; Alphaproteobacteria; Hyphomonadales; Hyphomonadaceae.